RNAcentral lists this ribosomal RNA (333 nucleotides) under uncultured eukaryote. RNAcentral's name for it is "partial 18S ribosomal RNA". It matches the Rfam family "Eukaryotic small subunit ribosomal RNA", at positions 1470 to 1796 of the family's 1831-position model. The record is from RNAcentral.
CCCUUAGAUGUCCGGGGCUGCACGCGCGCUACACUGUAGAAAGCAGCGUGCUUUAAAACCUUUCCUGAAAAGGAUGGGUAACCCCAGCAAAAUUCUACGUGCUUGGGAUAGAGAUUUGCAAUUUUCUCUCUUGAACGAGGAAUUCCCAGUAAGUGCGAGUCAUCAGCUCGCGUUGAUUACGUCCCUGCCCUUUGUACACACCGCCCGUCGCUCCUACCGAUUGAAUGUUCCGGUGAACACUUUGGAAUAGUUCUUAUGUGAGGGGAAACUCUUUGCUUGGAUACUGUGAAGUUGUGUAAACCUUAACAUUUAGAGGAAGGAGAAGUCGUAACA